AUACUUUUGUAGCUCAUAAACAUGAUGAUUCAGUGUCCAAGUGCAUGCAUGAGAUGUGCCUCCCUCAAACCUUGUCACAUCAGCACGUUGCCCAUCUGACA
Molecule: small nucleolar RNA, 101 nt
Organism: Pongo abelii (Sumatran orangutan)
Lineage: Eukaryota; Metazoa; Chordata; Mammalia; Primates; Hominidae
Source: Ensembl